UAUCAAACACCUGCAGGUUUCCAAGAAGUUCUCUGCUGAAAACCAGAAGCAGCUGGGUGGAGGAGAGGCCAUUUUAUCAGUAACCAAUAGGUUUCUGUGCUCCACUGACCUUGAAGUCAAUACUAGUGCUAAGAGCUCACUGUCUGCUGCUUCUUCUUGCAUUAUUGGUUUCAGAACCAUAAAAACAUUAGAGAUUUACUAUAAAUCACAGUUCAGUUGGGUUUUGUUGUCUUGGUUCUUUUUUUUUUUUUUUUUUUUUAACUUUAACUUAGCCUGGCCAUGUUCGUUUGUGAUUUGUGGAAAUCACCAGAAACCAAUGAAUGAGCCCCAAAAGAGCUGCCGCGGUGACUUUGGCAAAGACGGAGGCUUUUGGAUCUGUGAAGUCAGCAUUUAUAUUUGCAAUCUUUCAAAAUUGGAAGGAAGGAAAUGGAAAGAAAAACUACAGUGUUUGAAUUUUUUACAAAAUGUUUCAAUAUUCUUAGGUUCUUAUUUUAAUAUUGCUGUGCUUUUCCGAUCGCAAAUGGUGCAGUAAAGUAGAACUGAAUUUGCUAGUUGUUUCCCUGUUUGCUUAUUUGCGUUUUUGUUGUUGUUUGUUUUUUUUUCUUUUUUUGCCUUUUUUGUUUUUUUUCUUUUUUUGCCUUUUUUGUCUUUUUUUUUUUUUAAACUGGAGAGAAGGCUUUUGGUGGAAUAAUUUUGCUUAGAUCUAGUCACAGUACCUUGCAUAUGGGAAUCAUUAAGGGUGUGAGAUUAAGAGCCUAUCAGCCGAAGGCAAUAAAAUCAGUUUUAAACUUCUGGUGUCCA
This 801-nucleotide long non-coding RNA is filed under the name Anser brachyrhynchus (Pink-footed goose). RNAcentral describes it as "lncRNA (ENSABRG00000001114.1)". Lineage: Eukaryota; Metazoa; Chordata; Aves; Anseriformes; Anatidae. The record is from RNAcentral.